RNAcentral lists this ribosomal RNA (465 nucleotides) under Vreelandella stevensii. Its description in RNAcentral is "partial 16S ribosomal RNA". It matches the Rfam family "Bacterial small subunit ribosomal RNA", at positions 338 to 795 of the family's 1533-position model. The record is from RNAcentral. Lineage: Bacteria; Pseudomonadati; Pseudomonadota; Gammaproteobacteria; Oceanospirillales; Halomonadaceae.
CCUACGGGGGGCUGCAGUGGGGAAUAUUGGACAAUGGGGGCAACCCUGAUCCAGCCAUGCCGCGUGUGUGAAGAAGGCCCUCGGGUUGUAAAGCACUUUCAGUGAGGAAGAACGCCUGGUGGUUAAUACCCAUCAGGAAAGACAUCACUCACAGAAGAAGCACCGGCUAACUCCGUGCCAGCAGCCGCGGUAAUACGGAGGGUGCGAGCGUUAAUCGGAAUUACUGGGCGUAAAGCGCGCGUAGGUGGCUUGAUAAGCCGGUUGUGAAAGCCCCGGGCUCAACCUGGGAACGGCAUCCGGAACCGUUAAGCUAGGGGGCAGGAGAGGAAGGUAGGAUUCCCGGGGUAGCGGUGAAAUGCGUAGAGAUCGGGAGGAAUACCAGUGGCGAAGGCGGCCUUCUGGACUGACACUGAACCUGAGGUGCGAAAGCGUGGGUAGCAAACAGGAUUAGAUACCCGAGUAGUC